This 301-nucleotide long non-coding RNA is filed under the name Ornithorhynchus anatinus (platypus). RNAcentral's name for it is "lncRNA (ENSOANG00000042530.1)". The record is from RNAcentral. Lineage: Eukaryota; Metazoa; Chordata; Mammalia; Monotremata; Ornithorhynchidae.
ACUGAGCGGAGGGAUGCGGUGAUGUCACUCAGGAAGCGACUCGUCCCCAGAAGCCCCGGCACCGGGACCUUCCGUCAUUGGCCGGGAAUCCCAGGAAUCCUCCCCAUCUGUGGGACCCGGCCAGCCUAGGAGGGAGGGCCAGUGGUCGAGCGAACCCAGCGAGGGGCCCAGAAAAGAGAAGGCCGAGGAGGAGGAAGGCCACGCCGCUCCUCGGCGUUCCUCUGCCUCUACGGAUGCCGACCGGGAAUUUCGAAUGGAACGAGACCGUCGUCCGGAGGAUACCCUCAGACAGAGGACCAGA